AAAGUGAGCAUUGAUAGCAGUCCACUAUAGCACGGUUUCACUAAUUGCUAUGAACGAUUGAUUUGGGAUUUUGAUUACAUGUAAUAGCAUUUAAUCAACGCUAUAAUAAAAAAUUAAUAAGUGAGAAGCUGAAAACCCUUUUUCCGCUAAUACUUACCCAAAAAAUUUAGAAAGCCGCCAACACUUAGAAAGUUUUUUUAUCUUUUCUCAAAAACCUAAAAGAAAUCUUUCAGACUCACUCACUCACGAUUCACACGAAACUCGUCGCUUCCACCGUCGAAGCGUUGCAGCCUCUUCUCCUCCCUCUGUCCUCGCCGUCUCCGCCACUAUAGCUGAAUGUCUCUCCCCUCCUCCUCCUCCAGCUCCUAUUCUCCCGAACCAACUCACCUAAACCCUAAAUCCACUCCAAUGGCUCCUCCUCUGCCGCUGCCGCUACCAUCAAACCUAACUGACUCAACCAAAACCCCACAUCUCUGCCUCUCAAUCUAGAUCUAUCUCUCAUGAUGAAGUUUCAAUUUACAGUGGAGGAGAAUUGCAUCGGAACGGAGAAGCUGAAUUCGAUAGAGAGAGGGAAGAUUCAAAUAGUCUUAGAUCGGGAAGUAGAUAGAGAGAGAGGAUGUGGUUAUGGUGGUGAUGGACGGAUAACUUCAAUAAGUAGAGAUGAUUCGUUGACUCUUAUCUACGCCUUCAUCCUCACAAAAUGCCGGAGCUGUACAAUGGUUUGAGAGAGGGUAGCUUGUUGAAUAUCUUGAGUGGUGGAAAGUAAAAAAAUUGUAAGAAUACUUCAAGUGUAAGUUCUAACGCAUGAUGUGUCUAUAUUUGCUCCUCUGAUUUAGUAACUUCAUUUAUUUGAACUUUUUUGUCUAGGAAAUGAACAAGCUACGAACGAGAAUGAAUUAUGGAUACUUAUGUCCCAUGAUUUGAUGAUGUCUUCUUUGACCUUCAGAUUGCAGGGGAGGAUUUUGGAAGCAUAAGUAAUUCUUUAAAGGCAAAGUGUUGAAGACGCUGAAGUUUCCCUAGCUGGUACAUUAAAUUGCUCAAUGCUAUUUGCAUAAGUUUUAUUAGCUGCUUUCCCUUUUAUUGAAAAGUAGUUUCUUACAUUGUUAACUUUGCUACCUCUUCCUCUUCCAAGCUCUUCUUCUAUGAACCACAUAGUGAUGAUUUCAAGGAUGAUUCAACAUGGCUUGAGCUUUUUGAUCACUAGAAUGUGAUAAGUGGGUAGAGAAAGGAAUUGCUUCAGCCAUAGCACCAAGCUUGAAGGAAGAACAAGAACAAGAACAAGUCUUAAACAAUAAAGCACCAUUUGGAGUUUUGACGCAAGAACCAGAACAGUUAGAAUUUGUGAUCGUAGAUAGGGUAUUUUUCUUUGUCCCUUAUCUCAUAAAUUAGUACUCUUGUUGUAUAAGAGUCGUAGUUGAUGUUUUUAUAUAAGGUUUGGUUUGUAUUA
Molecule: long non-coding RNA, 1447 nt
Organism: Arabidopsis lyrata subsp. lyrata
Lineage: Eukaryota; Viridiplantae; Streptophyta; Magnoliopsida; Brassicales; Brassicaceae
Exons: 4
Source: RefSeq, a predicted model, not a curated record